UACGUAAAAGACUAGUGUUAUUCAUCUUUAGUAGGUUUAAAGGGUACCUAGACGGUAUAAUUAGUCUUAAACAAGAAACGGUUAUGCUAGAGUUAUAUAUGAGAAGGGGAGUAUUUAUGGAGUAGAGUUGAAAUUCUUUGAUCCCAUAACGACUGGUAGCGGCGAAAGCAACCUUUUAUCUAAUAACUGACGUUGAGGGACGAAAGCUCGGGUCACGAACAGG
Molecule: ribosomal RNA, 223 nt
Filed under: uncultured bacterium
Lineage: Bacteria
Description: partial 16S ribosomal RNA
Rfam family: Bacterial small subunit ribosomal RNA
Source: RNAcentral